AGGACGGGCUGAGGGAUCGCCGCCGGGAGUCCGCAGGGCUCGCCGGACGGAGGAAAGUCCGAGCUCCGCAAGGCAGGGUGCCGGGUAACGCCCGGGCGCCGCGAGGCGACGGAAAGUGCCACAGAGAGCAGACCGCCGAUGGCCCGUCAGGGCACAGGCAAGGGUGAAAGGGUGCGGUAAGAGCGCACCGGGCCGCUGGCAACA
This 204-nucleotide RNase P RNA is filed under the name Gemmatimonadota bacterium. RNAcentral's name for it is "Gemmatimonadetes bacterium partial RNase P RNA component class A". It matches the Rfam family "Bacterial RNase P class A", at positions 1 to 194 of the family's 367-position model. From Rfam's summary of the family: Ribonuclease P (RNase P) is a ubiquitous endoribonuclease, found in archaea, bacteria and eukarya as well as chloroplasts and mitochondria. Its best characterised activity is the generation of mature 5'-ends of tRNAs by cleaving the 5'-leader elements of precursor-tRNAs. The record is from RNAcentral. Lineage: Bacteria; Pseudomonadati; Gemmatimonadota.